This 136-nucleotide small RNA is filed under the name Serratia plymuthica. Its description in RNAcentral is "RtT sRNA". It matches the Rfam family "RtT RNA". From Rfam's summary of the family: This family represents a bacterial cis-regulatory element known as RtT RNA. The exact function of RtT is unknown although it is thought that it may be involved in changing the cellular response in relation to amino acid starvation. Lineage: Bacteria; Pseudomonadati; Pseudomonadota; Gammaproteobacteria; Enterobacterales; Yersiniaceae. The record is from RNAcentral.
CCCGUAAGGGAAGAGCGCAGGAUGCGCGAAAUAACCUCCGAAGGAGGUUUGAGCCGAGCGCAGCGAGACCACGUUGCUUUAGCAACGGCCCGCAGGGCAAGCAUCAAAGAUGCGCGUAAUCCUCUCUCGCCGACCA